GUGUAGUGACAUGACCACUCGCCUUCCCUGACUCCGCCCUCCAUUCACAGGCUGACGCUCGGCUAUGCCCCCGCUGCCACAGUCUAUUAUUCAUAUGUCUUGGCACGACUCUCACAGCAAUCACCGUUAUGCAGGAGUAAAUGUCUUUGAAGAUGGGAACUCCUGUGAUCCUAAAGAUCAUCCUGACUGAUAGUAGCUCUCAGAGGUUGACUCUCUCCCAUGGACUCCCUGCAUCCGUUGAUGAUUUUAUGGUUGAACUGAAGAAACAAUGUGGACUUCAGGGCAGCUUUAGACUUCAAUUUAUUUAUUCAUUGUUUGGAAACAAGUUUCUUAACCUUACUUCAAUUUCAGAAGUGGAAGACAAAGGUACUCUUAGAGUCAUUGAUAUAUCAAGGCCCACCACUAUAGAACAUGAUGAUGAGUGCUCUACUGUACUUAAUCCAGUACUACACCUCCAAACAUUCAGUCCUUCCUCAGUGACUGAUUCUUCAUCCCUGUCAGGUGAACUUGUGGCUACAGAUAUACUGUCAUCAAGUGAGUCUACAAGCUCACGGUCCUCUUGGCUGGCUGUGUUUCAUGUACCCAAGUUCUCCUAUGAUGCAGAAUUAAAACUUAAGCAGGCAGGUUUACCUUAUAUUCAAAAUGGCACUGUACUUAUUCCAGAUCCCAAAUUGAAGUCAGCCAUCACUGACAGUUUAGUGCAGGGAAUUGUGCAGCAUAAAGUCUGUCAGUGAUGAGGAGAUGGAACAGGUAGCCCAGAGUCUCAUCAAGACACAUCCAUGUUUAACUGAGAAGGGGUCAUUCACUGGAUAUGGUGGAUGGAAGACCAGUCUAAAAUAUACUAGGCUGCUCAGAAGUGACAGUGAACUCUUUAAAAACAAACCUGAAACUCAAGAUAAAAAAGACUUUUGCAUCCUGAAAACAUGAGGUGAUUCAUGAUGUACCAGUGGUGGAGGAUUUUAUGGCAAGGUGGCCUGCUCUGUUUGAACUCAGUGAGGCUGAAUUCAAGAGAAUCACCACCAUACCACUUCAAUCCAAGUUCCUGUCUCAGCUGGACUUCCACUCUGACAACCUGACAACGCUGUUCCAAAGGAGAAGAGGGCAGCUAAGAGAAAGCAAAUACUGCACAAAUAGCUAAUAUAAGUGAUACAGGGGUCCCACAGUCAUGAAAAACCUAGAAAUGUAAAAAAAAAAACCUGACUGUUUUUUUUUUAAAUAUUAAAAUUUUUAGAAUUGUGGACAAGUUAUGGAAAAUAGUACAAUGUUUUAGUUGCCACAUGAUUUAUUGGGAAGAAGGGCAUAUCCAGGGAUGCCAUGAGGGCAUUUAGUUUUCAUCUUGUCCUUGCACAAUUAUUGCAUCUUUUUGUAUCAGCUUUAACUGUUCCUCUAUUUCCCUAUUUAUCAUCAUAUAUUUGUCUACCUCCUUUUUCUUUGUCUCUUUCCCACCAAUCUUCUUUCUUCAUGAUUUGGAGUACACA
Long non-coding RNA from Neoarius graeffei (lesser salmon catfish), 1478 nucleotides. RefSeq lists it as uncharacterized. The transcript is spliced from 3 exons. NCBI's taxonomy places the organism in Eukaryota, Metazoa, Chordata, Actinopteri, Siluriformes, Ariidae. The record is from RefSeq and is a predicted model, not a curated record.